CCGAGUUAGGGUGCCUCAAAGCGCCCGACCUCCAACCCUUUGUCUACCUGACCUAUUGUUGCUUCGGCAGACCCGCCGCCCCCUUUCCCUUCAUAGGGGAGGGGAUGGCCACCGGGGGCCCUUACCGGCCCCGGGUCCGCGUCUGCCGAUGGCCCUUAUUAAAACUCUUGUCAUUAACCGUGUCGUCUGAGUAAAACAAAACAAAUAAAAAA
This 212-nucleotide unclassified non-coding RNA is filed under the name uncultured Chaetothyriales. RNAcentral's name for it is "sequence contains ITS1". The record is from RNAcentral. Lineage: Eukaryota; Fungi; Ascomycota; Eurotiomycetes; Chaetothyriales.